AUGCACGCUGGCGGCGUGCCUAAUACAUGCAAGUCGAGCGAACAGACGAGGAUCUUGCUUCUCUGACGUUAGCGGCGGACGGGUGAGUAACACGUGGAUAACCUACCUAUAAGACUGGGAUAACUUCGGGAAACCGGAGCUAAUACCGGAUAAUAUAUUGAACCGCAUGGUUCAAUAGUGAAAGACGGUUUUGCUGUCACUUAUAGAUGGAUCCGCGCCGCAUUAGCUAGUUGGUAAGGUAACGGCUUACCAAGGCAACGAUGCGUAGCCGACCUGAGAGGGUGAUCGGCCACACUGGAACUGAGACACGGUCCAGACUCCUACGGGAGGCAGCAGUAGGGAAUCUUCCGCAAUGGGCGAAAGCCUGACGGAGCAACGCCGCGUGAGUGAUGAAGGUCUUCGGAUCGUAAAACUCUGUUAUUAGGGAAGAACAAAUGUGUAAGUAACUGUGCACGUCUUGACGGUACCUAAUCAGAAAGCCACGGCUAACUACGUG
RNAcentral lists this ribosomal RNA (496 nucleotides) under uncultured bacterium. Its description in RNAcentral is "partial 16S ribosomal RNA". It matches the Rfam family "Bacterial small subunit ribosomal RNA", at positions 29 to 507 of the family's 1533-position model. The record is from RNAcentral.